UCUCGGUCUCGUUCAGAAACACACUCAGGAACACACCGGUUCAUCAGUCAGUGGACAAUAUCCUGCAUAGACCGUCCUUCAUUCUCCCCUCUUCCCAACUCUGGCAGCUGUUGUUAUCAUUACAGGCUCUCGCUCUCUCCCUUUCUCUCUCACUCCUUCACCCUCCAUCCCUCCCUCCCACUCUCCCUCUCUCUCUCUCCCUCUCUCUCUCCUCCUGGUAUCUCUGGCGAUUUGCCGCAUGGAACUCGCCCAGGCAAGGCAGAGCAUCAGCUGUCUGAUCUGGACUCCUCUCCAGUUGCCGACCACUGCUCAACACUCACACGCAGCAGACACGCGCUCACCUUUACUGGGACUCAAUGGGAUUUAACGAAAAUGUUCGCCUCACGACCUGAAAGACAAUAGUGCGCCUAUGCUGGAGCUUGACACAUUCACAACGAUAGGCUGUUUCUAUUUGCCUUUCCUGUUUUCUUUUUUCCCUCUUUUGUUUCUGCACUCAGCGGACGAACCUGGGACCGGAGGUAGCUGCAGGGGGACUUUACUGGCAUGGAGUCCUUAUUUUGCCAAGCGACCCGCAGGGAGUCAUAAAACAGAGAAACCAAUCGCCUUGGUAGAAUAUUAAUGACCCAGUCUUGACAGUAAUCCAGGAGAUGUUGCAGCAGAGUUUGAGAGCCUAGAGUGCAUCCCAACUUUUUGGUCGCCGAUUCAGAGCUCAUGCUCUCAAACACGUUACAGACUUCUUCUGUCAUGACUGAUUUGCCCUAUUUCACGACCUGUCAUGGACAAGUCAACGUCUUUGGUUGUUGAGGAGCAAUUUAAGGGUUGGGAGUGACAACACAGGGAAAUCACAAGCCUCAAGUCUGAAGAACGUCUCACGACAGUGAUGACCCAGGAGCAGUACAUUCUAGCGGCACAGCCCAACCCACUCCACCAACGAGGGGCAUCGAUGUGCGGCGCCCAGGUUUACCCCGCGGUGGGAAUCUAUGGGUGGAGGAAGAGAUGCCUGUACUUCUUUGUCCUCCUUCUCCUCGUGACCAUGAUUGUUAACCUUGCACUGACCAUCUGGAUUCUCAAAGUCAUGAACUUCACCCCUGUAAGUGACCGGAUUAUUUCAAACAUUUUUGAGUAGACAUUCUGCAAGAGAGAGAGAGAGAGAGAGAGAGAGAGAGAGAGGUGAAUGUGAGUGACUAUUAUGACGUUAGAGAACUUGGUCUCUGUGCUAUAACAAAUGUGUAAAAAAAAAGGUAUUCCACUUGACUAAACUCUAAAAGCGAGGUUUUAUUUUGUAUCACGUCAGAGAUAAAAACAUUUUGGAAUGUGUCAGAAGAGACGCAGAGCCAUCAAUUAAAAGGGCAUAAUUUUUCUUAACAAAACGUCUCUCACAUUCAUAACAAAACAGCAGAAGUGAUUACAGUAUGACAAAAAACAGGGAACAAUAACAACAAAAAACAAUAAAGAUAGAGAGAUGAGAGGGGAAAAAAGCAGAUCCUGGUCGUUUGUUAAAAAAGAAAAAAAACGUUGGGUAGAAAAGACAAAGCUCUUGUGACAAACACUGAUAAUUAACUUAAAGACAUUUGGAGAAGAUACAACAGUGUUGUGAUAAACGUACAGACGUGAUCCAAGAUCUCAUUGUUUUCCUGCUGCCUUUCUUCUUCUUCCUUCCUGGUCUGUGCACUGCCUCUGUGACCAGACCAGGAAAUGUUCAUUUGAACUAUAUUGUCAUAUCUCUGGUCAGCAGAUUUUUUUUAUGUUUGUUAUGAAAAACAGAGAUUGAGCAUCUCAUCCACAGAUUAGCGUUCAAACACAUUCAUCAUUGGCUGCCUGGAGGCUGAAGGAACCACAGCUACUGUACGGUUUAUAUGCAAAUGAGACAGGAUUUAACCUCCACAAAGUCUUCCAAAGAUUCAGGCUGGUUUGUGUGUGGGCUUGUGUGUGUGUGUGUGUUGUUGAGCGAGCGGUUAAGAAUAUUAGAAUUUGCCAAAGAGUAGCGAGGCGGUAUUAAGAAAAAAACAAGGUGAGGAUAUUUUCUAAGUUUUGUAUCACUGACUGAAACAGUUUUUGGAUUUGACGAGGCUGAAAAAGUUAAAAAGACAAAGGGGAGUUCCUGUAGAAGAGCGUAGAUAUAAACAUUGAAGGUAAAAAAAUCUGAUUUGUAAUAGAAAAAGUGAAUAAGAAUAACCCAAAACCAAGGAAUCCAUGGAAUACUCCUCCAUUAAAUGUUCAGUAAUUGAUCCACUGACAGUGAGUCAAUGUUUUUUUACAGAUAUGAAAACCCUCUCUCACACAUGGUAUAAUAUAUGUACAUAUAUUAUAUGAUACAUAUAUGUACAUGUAAUUAUACCUUUUCACCAUUUUACCACCAGGUGGUAUUUAAUUAUUUAGUGUUUACCUUCCUGAGCAGUGCUCAGCUGCUCACACAGGCUGUACUUCCUGUGAUUCUCCACGGUCACUCCACUCCACUCCACUCUGUGAUCAACAAUGUAGAAAAUCAAAGAAAAAGAAAACGAAGAACAAACUAACUGUUGCUGGAAAACCGUUCAUGAGCCAGGCUUUAAAAUCAAUUCAGUGUGAACUCUCUCCACAGGUCAGACCACUUGAGUUAGAGCUGUCAAUUGACAUUUCAAGGAAAUAUGACAUGGUCCCUAUUUAAGCAGAUUCAUUUCUGUUUGCCAGCACAGGCAGUGCAUUCACGAGACGACAGUGGGAAAAAAACAAAAAAAUCUUUAUUAACAUUCUCAGCACAUAACCGUCGAAACAACAAAACAAUAAAUAUUAUCUGCCCUGAAAAUCACAGUUCACAUUUCUAACCUGUCCUACAAAAUUCUGUUUAUAUUAAAUUAACUCUGCAUCUGUUCCCCACUGUGGCGCUUAACACUGCUGCACAAGAAACUAGUUUCACUCCAAGUUUGUGUUCACACUGUAAAGUAAUGCGCACUCUCUCCUCAACUAAUCCAUUUUAGAAUCCACCUCGAGAUGAGGGUUUCAAUCCCAAAUCAACUUGGGUGCGAUAUUAUAAAAUCCAUAGCGUGUUUCGUGACCCACGAACAUGUACAAAAACUUUACCUCAGUGAGGCUGCCAUGUGUGUUGUUUACAUCGAUAUUCAUAUUUAAUGGAUGAAAACUCCCAGAUAUC
This is a long non-coding RNA of Cynoglossus semilaevis (tongue sole), 3130 nucleotides long. RefSeq lists it as uncharacterized. The record is from RefSeq and is a predicted model, not a curated record. The transcript is spliced from 3 exons. Lineage: Eukaryota; Metazoa; Chordata; Actinopteri; Pleuronectiformes; Cynoglossidae.